RNAcentral lists this long non-coding RNA (370 nucleotides) under Bos taurus (domestic cattle). Its description in RNAcentral is "long non-coding RNA NONBTAT014135". The record is from RNAcentral. Lineage: Eukaryota; Metazoa; Chordata; Mammalia; Artiodactyla; Bovidae.
GUUUCACUUUUAUGGGAGACAGUGGUCGUGGGAAGGGCACCCAAAUAACCUCUUGUCCUUACCCAGGGCACCCACGGUGGAAAGCAGACCAGUCCGUGCACAUUGGUUCAUGGUCACUGUCAGCUAAUAACUGUAAGUUGGAUUUUCUCUAGGAUUUAAAAACGUAUAAGCCUUGUUCGAAUUCCCCUUUCACAGCGUUCAAACUAGUUGAGUGUCUUGUGCCUAGUUUUUGACAUCCCGUUCCAUUUCAGACCCAGAGUCCUUGAGCCUUAACACAAUUCAGUUUUACUGGUUCUCUUGGGCCUGUCACACAGGAGUGUGUCCAGCAGAUGGCGCUGGAAUUCUUAGACGGCAGACCCAUGCUCUGAAG